Molecule: long non-coding RNA, 232 nt
Filed under: Citrus x clementina
Lineage: Eukaryota; Viridiplantae; Streptophyta; Magnoliopsida; Sapindales; Rutaceae
Description: Citrus clementina (C. clementina) long non-coding RNA (CCLE_LNC000610)
Source: RNAcentral
AUUUAAUGACAAAAUGAGAAAAAAAUUCAUUGCAUGUUUUUAUAUUUCCAUUAUAAAGACAUGGUUUGGGAUACUUGAACUUAAAAUUUUGAUACAAUAUUUUAGUCAUUAAUAUCUUAUAGUGUAAUGGUUAAUAUUAAAAGCCAAAGCAACAUUUCAUAUUGUCAUAUCAAAGCAGCAUUUCAUAUUGGCAUAUCCUCCACCAUUGAAUCGCAUGAAAUUAAUAUUUUAA